AAUUUCAUAAAACAUUAUUAAAGUCAGUAAUUAAAUGUCUGGGCGUUUUUUUAUUAUUAUUAUUAUUGCAUAAUUUGUACAUAAAGAACUUCUGUAAAGACAUUUUGCCUCUUUUUGUCCUACACUCCCCACCUCUUUCCUAACUUGCAGCUGUUUGUAACAACAGUCAAAUAAAGUCUUCAGUCUAAUCAAUGAAAAUAGAUAAGAACUUUUAUUUUUGUCACCUCCUCCCAAAAACUGACACAGUUGUUCUGGUCCAGCCAAGUGUUUAUAGCAAAUAUUUUGUAUAUAUGAAUAUGUUCAUACGUUUAAAUUUGCUUUAGAAAAAUUUCUUUUUUUGUAUUUUUUUCAAAAUAAAAGAAAUCUUAGCAGUUGCAGUAAUGCAGUCACUGUAUCGAUCCAUUGUUGUGAAGAAAGAGCUGAGUCAAAAGGUAACGGGGCAGGAGGAGCUUGGAUUACAGAUGCAGGUUUUGAGUCUGAAGAAAAGCCAGUUGAGGUGGUUUGAUCAUCUCAUCCAGAUGCCUCCUGAGGAGAUUUUAGGCAGGAAGAAGCCCCAGUGAAGACCAAGGAGAGAACUGUGACUGGUCUGUAGUUGAUGAAGUUUCGGUGGAGAAGAAGCCCCAGACAUCUCUGCCUAGACUCCUGCCCCACAACCCAUAUUUUAAUAAGCAGGAUGAAUUCAUGUCAUUAAUCUUGUUUAUAUGUAUUCUUGAACCAGUAUUAAAUUCUAAGAAUACAUUUUUAGUAAAAUACCAGGAUUUCCAAUAGUUUUGAAGGAACUAAAUAGUGCUUAUAAGCAGAAUAUAUAUAUGUACACACAUGUAAUGUGUAUGACUAGUGAAGAUAUGUGGAAAUGAAAGCAGAAAAAUGUCCAAGUGUGUUGUGAAGCCGUUCAGAACCACGUGUUUGGUGUUGAGAGGUUGUGAUCUCUGUUUUAAUCUUCAGGAAUUUGAGGUACUUUUCUGAAAGAACUGGGUGUUGUUGGGGUAACUGAGGUCCUUUUACCAUCCGGCACUGUUACAGUGGAGGUCAGGGAGACAGAUGGAGAUGAUGUGCACUCAGCUGAUAGCUCUACUUUUUGCAGAUCCUGAUGCUGCUUCCAAACCAGGUUUUACGAUGAUUCGUGUCAGGGAGGAAUAAAACUUCUUUAGCACUUUGGGGGCCUUCUAAAUUCUAGAAUGGACACUGCUAGGCUUUCGUUACCAUAGUGACGAUGUUAAAAGACCCAUAAUAGGGCUCGUCUGAUGAAAACAAAUGAGUUACUUGAAGCUGUCUCUCUCUACUUGGCUCCUUUAGGUGGUUUAUGACUCGAUUUGUGUUGCUUUUGUCUUGUGUUGAAGUUUUUCUACUGGCACUGAUUCUCCAGAUUCCUGAUCUCCCUCUGCCAGGCUGUGCCGUUGCUGUUGGUGAUCAGUGUCCUCGGCGAAUUGAUGAGAACUCCACUUUAUCUGGCCUUUUUCUUCCAUUUGGGAAAUGUUGCAGAAUGUUGACAUCUUAGCGUCAUCAGAUCUACUUUUGCAUCCGACAAGACGAGACUCAACUUUAAUUGAUCUCACAGCAGUGAAAUUGAUUUGUUUCUAUAUCUCAAAAACUAAAAUAAUAAUAAAAUAUAACAGAAAUAAAACAAA
Molecule: long non-coding RNA, 1628 nt
Organism: Oryzias melastigma (Indian medaka)
Lineage: Eukaryota; Metazoa; Chordata; Actinopteri; Beloniformes; Adrianichthyidae
Exons: 2
Source: RefSeq, a predicted model, not a curated record